RNAcentral lists this long non-coding RNA (4212 nucleotides) under Homo sapiens (human). Its description in RNAcentral is "HSALNT0071605". Lineage: Eukaryota; Metazoa; Chordata; Mammalia; Primates; Hominidae. The record is from RNAcentral.
CUGGGACUACAGGCGCCCACCACCGCGCCUGGCUAAUUUUUUGUAUUUUUAGUAGAGACGGAGUUUUACCGUGGUCGCAAUCUCCUGACAUCGUGAUCCGCCCGCCUCGGCCUCCCAAAGUGCUGGGAUUACAGGCGUGAGCCACCACCACGCCCGGCCGAGGACGGGGCAGUAUUUUUAAUGACGCUGACAGUGGUGAAGAGGACAGGCCAGCUGUUUUGCAGUAUGUCCCUUAAUGUGGAUUUGUCGUAUUGUUUCCUGAGAACUGCUGUGAUUUCUUAGUGCAUCACCAGGACAUCUAACAUCAUUUGGACCCAUUAUAGAUAUCGAUAAUCUCCAGCCACCAGUCUCUGCCAUCCUAAUCCACAGGCCCACUGCACCCAAACUGCACUCCAACUGACCACUGCUAAAACCUGGCUCUGGCCGGGAUCCUUCCCUCUUCCAAGGACUUCCAGGCUCCCAAGUGCCACAGGAUGCCCUCCAAAUGCCUUCACCUGGUAAUCAAGCCCAAUCACCCCCAAAUUGCCUUUCCCACUCAAGACUCUCCCUGCUUUUAUAAGCUACAAGCUUAGGAUGAAACAUAUGAUCAAUGAACCGUGAAAGCUGCCAACACACGAAAAGAACUUAGUAUAACUACAUAAAAUGGAGACUAAAGUUACUCUGACACAGGGAGUGAUACAUGCAAUCAUCAUUGUGCUAUGUAGUAAUUAUGUUUAAAUGAUUGUAAUUAGUAUUUCCUUUGCGCAGCUAAAACCCAGUUAUUGCUGGGUUUGCUAUCAAGAGCGUGGAGAGAAAACUCAGAGGGUGAAAUUGCUGUGAUGCAGCUCUGAAGAUUUCUGUAUCCAGUCUUGGGGUGGAAUACACAGCCAGCUCCCAACUCUUCUUUAGCAAGAAGUUCUCAGAACAAAGAGUUCCAGGAUUGGGAUCCAUAAAAUUCCAAGAGCAGCAGGAAGCUCCAGAGACAGAAAGACCUGGGUUCAAAUCAUAGCCCUGUAACUCACUAGACAAGUUAUUUACGCAUUUGACAUCCACGAGCCUCAGUUUCCUCCUCUUUCAAAUGGUGACAAAAAUACCUGCUAGUCAUAGCUUGAGGAUGUGGAAUAAGUAAAACAAUGCAUGUAAUGCACUUGGCACAGGCCCGGUGUACAAUAUACACUUCAUCAAUGGCCGGCAUUAUUACCAUCUUCUCCAAGCAGAUUUCAAUGCAGCCCUCCCACUGGUGAAAAUUGGCUGUGUUGAUCACUGGCUCACUUCUCCUCCUGAGAAUCCUGCCUGUGGCUAAGGCUAGGUUAGAAGCAAUGAAAGAACAGCAGUGAGGGAACGAGACAAUGCCAAUCCUUCUGAAGGACAGGCCUCCAUAGGCGUAGUCUCUGGACAGGCGGAAGGCAAUAGAAAAGCUGGGGACGCGGAGGAAGGAAGGGAGGAUGCCGACAAAGGAAAGGCAGAAAGAAGCUCUAAAGACAGACCCGGCUGCGUGAUCACCGCAGCCACAGCUGGCUCCAGCCCUGCUUUCUGCCAAAAUUGGGCUUUAACUCUUUUCAAGGCUCCCAUCUCCCCAGCCUCACUUGCCGUCCUGAGGAUGACGAGGACAAGCCAACAGCUACAGAGAAAGGGGAGUCUGCUCCUAAUGUGGCCAUGAGAAUUCUGAAUCUACUUCCUAUUCAUUCCACAUCUUGUCAUCAAAAGUUUACCCCACACCAGCUAAGCCCAGACACACUCAAGAAGCCGGGUUCAACAGUGGGGCUGACACAAUCUCAGAUGUGGUUUGGGUUACAUAAGACUUUGUGAAGCGAACUGCUUCUAUAGGGAAAUAACUUCCAAGUUCUAAACAAGUAACUUGGAAGAGAACCUCUGAGACGUACAUGUGCAUAGUAAGGAUGUAAACUAAGGACAGGCAUAGCAAGAUAGGUGCAGUAAGGAUUUCUGCUGCUCCUUGGGAGGCGUGGUGUUUUAUUCACCUAUUUGUAUUUGGGGCACAGCAGAAAGCAAUCAAAAGUCUCCAUUGCCACCAGAGGUAAUUGCCUAAAAAGCAAACCCAUUGCUCUUCUGUAUAGAGACUGUGCUGGCUGCCUAUUGCUCACUGGAUGCUGUUUAAAGUCCUUACCAUGCUAUUCAAGAUUGUUCACAAACUGACUUGAUACCUACCUCUCACCUCUAGUCUGCCCCACCUUGCACUUGUCCUAGCCUUUGUCCCUGAGCAUACAAAGUCUCUUCAUAUAGCUAGGCACUUUCACAUGCUUACUGCUUCCUCCCCUGAACUGCCUUUCCCACAGGCCUCCUCUCACUCCUUUGUGGCCUAACAAACUCCUACUCAUCCUUCAAAACCCAGUUUAAAUGUUACCUCCUCACCGAACCAUUUAAGUAGAGACUGUACCUUCCACCUCUGGGUCCCAACACUCUUUGGCUUCCCUAUUUAUCACACAUCACAGAAACUAUCUGGCUUCUUCAUCAGGCAAAGGGUUAGUCCUCUCUGUAACUCUAGCUCUAGUGUAAGGGCCAGUCCUUGUUAGGGCCUCAAUUUUUGUUUGUUGAGUGAAUUGUUAAUGAAAUGAGCAACAUUAUAAAGUAUUGGGAAGGACUCAAAACAUCAGUUUUGGAACUAUCACGGACUUUAGACCUGCUAACGAUUUACAACUUUUGUUGUCGUUAAUAAUUUUUUUUUUUUUUUUUUUUUUUUUUUUUUUUUUUUUUUUUUAAGACGGAGUCUCUCUCUAUCACCCAGGCUGGAGUACAGUGGCACGAUCUCCGCUCACCGGAACCUCCACCUCCCAAGUACAAGCGAUUCUUCUGCCUCAGUCUCCCAAGUAGCUGGGAUUACAGGCAUGCACCACCACACCUGGCUACUUUUCAUAUUUUUUAGUAGAAAUGGGGUUUUGCCAUGUUGACCAGGCUGGUCUUGAACUCCUGACUUCAGGUGAUCCGCCCGCCUUGGCCUCCCAAAGUGCUGGGAUUACAGGCAUGAGGCACCAUGCCUGGCCCAUUAAUCAUAUAUGAAUCAUUCUCUCAGGACCAAGACUAAAGUUGGAUUCAAGCAACCACACCAGGGAAAGGAUCAUCGGACAGGCUUUUAGUUCCUUCCUGCCAGUCAUUACUGCAUGAAGUUCCUGUUGGUUUGUGAAAGAGGGGAUGGGAAUGAGUGGAGUCCCCCUGUUCCUCUCUAAAGAAGAGUUAGGAGUUGGCUCCAAAGGAAGCAGUAAAAUCUCUGGGUCCUUCUUUUUUUAUGUACCACCGGAUACACAAAUGGGGCAAGGAGAAAACAAUAUGGCCAUCUCCCCUUGGGCAACACACAUUAUUCUCCUUUACUGGGCGUGCAGCAGAAAUACAAAAUGCAGCUUUAUUCAGAGGACUGGGGAAUACAUUCUUGAGGCCAGAGGCUCUGGCAGGAAAAUCAUCAAACAGCAAGCAACGCCUUUUCAUCUGUGGCAGAAGAAGAGUUUUAAGUGAUGCAAAAGCCAUGUAGUAUUUAAGUAAUAACAUCUUCUCAUUCUUCCAUUCCAUGGCCUUUCUUUGUCUGAUGUUACUAUUUCUGAUCUUAAUGAAUGUGCCUUUUUUAGUUUUAUUUUUGUAAUUUUCUUUAUAUCUCUUUUGAAGUAGACAAUAUAAAUAUCAAUCUAUGAAACAUUCUCUUCAAUGAUGUUCUAAAAUAUGAGCAGCACUUUACAAUAUGAUACUAGCACAUCAGAAAUGAACUAAAUGAUAUUUGGAAUGAGAUUUCUAGAUGACUUUUUAAACAUCUUGAAGCCAAAAAUUUAAAUCCCAUUGUGUGUGUAUGUGUUUGUGUUUUAAUGACUUGAGAUACAAUUCACAUAGUUUACCCACUGAAAAUGUAGAAUUCAAUAUUUUUGUACAUUCACAGGAUUAUGCAACCAUCACUACAAACUAAUUUUAGUUUCCCUUCCACUAGCAGAAGCCCCAAAUCCAUUAGUUUUCACUUCCCCUCUUACUCACCCACAACCCCCAGCCCCAAACAACCACUAAUUUGCCUUCUGUCUCUAUAGAUUUGCCUAUUCAGAACAUUUAUAUAAAUGAAAUUAUAUAAUGUGUAGUCUUUUAUGACUGGUUUCUUUCAUUUAACAUGCUUUUAAGGUUCAUCCAUGUUGUAGCAUGCAUCAAUGCUUUAUUCCUUUUUAUAGCCAAAUAAUAUUGCAUUGCAAGGAUAUACCACAUUUGAUCUAUCCAUUCAUCACUCUGUGGACAUUUGGGUGUUUCCAC